UUUUGGACAAUGGGCGCAAGCCUGAUCCAGCAAUGCCGCGUGAGUGAAGAAGGCCUUCGGGCUGUGAACCGCUUUCAGCAGGAACGAAAAUGACGGUACCUGCAGAAGAAGGAGCGGCCAACUACGUGCCAGCAGCCGCGGUGACACGUAGGCUCCAAGCGUUGUCCGGAUUUAUUGGGCGUAAAGAGCUCGUAGGCGGUUUAGUAAGUCGGGUGUUAAAACUCUGGGCUCAACCCGGAGAGGCCAUCCGAUACUGCUGUGACUUGAGUUCAGGAGGGGAGCGGGGAAUUCCUAGUGUAGCGGUGAAAUGCGCAGAUAUUAGGAGGAACACCGGUGGCGAAGGCGCCGCUCUGGACUGAAACUGACGCUGAGAGCGAGG
This 379-nucleotide ribosomal RNA is filed under the name uncultured bacterium. Its description in RNAcentral is "bacterial SSU rRNA". It matches the Rfam family "Bacterial small subunit ribosomal RNA", at positions 362 to 758 of the family's 1533-position model. The record is from RNAcentral.